CCUACGGGCGGCCGCAGUGAGGAAUAUUGGUCAAUGGCCGAGAGGCUGAACCAGCCAAGUCGCGUGAGGGAAGACGGCCCUACGGGUUGUAAACCUCUUUUGUCGGGGAGCAAAGCGAACCACGUGUGGUUCAUUGAGAGUACCCGAAGAAAAAGCCUCGGCUAACUCCGUGCCAGCAGCCGCGGUAAUACGGAGGAUGCGAGCGUUCGCCGGAUUUACUGGGUGUAAAGGGAGCGUAGGCGGGACAUCAAGUUGGGUGUCAAAUCUACCGGCUCAACCGGUAGCCGCACUCAAAACUGCAGUUCGUGAGUGAAGUAGAGGCAGGCGGAAUUCCUAGUGUAGCGGUGAAAUGCGUAGAUAUUAGGAGGAACACCAGUGGCGAAGGCGGCCUGCUGGGCUUUUACUGACGCUGAGGCUCGAAAGUGUGGGGAGCAAACAGGAUUAGAUACCCUUGUAGUC
RNAcentral lists this ribosomal RNA (459 nucleotides) under uncultured bacterium. Its description in RNAcentral is "partial 16S ribosomal RNA". It matches the Rfam family "Bacterial small subunit ribosomal RNA", at positions 338 to 795 of the family's 1533-position model. The record is from RNAcentral.